GAUGAACGCUGGCGGCGUGCCUAAUACAUGCAAGUCGAGCGAACGGACGAGAAGCUUGCUUCUCUGAUGUUAGCGGCGGACGGGUGAGUAACACGUGGAUAACCUACCUAUAAGACUGGGAUAACUUCGGGAAACCGGAGCUAAUACCGGAUAAUAUUUUGAACCGCAUGGUUCAAAAGUGAAAGACGGUCUUGAUGUCACUUAUAGAUGGAUCCGCGCUGCAUUAGCUAGUUGGUAAGGUAACGGCUUACCAAGGCAACGAUGCAUAGCCGACCUGAGAGGGUGAUCGGCCACACUGGAACUGAGACACGGUCCAGACUCCUACGGGAGGCAGCAGUAGGGAAUCUUCCGCAAUGGGCGAAAGCCUGACGGAGCAACGCCGCGUGAGUGAUGAAGGUCUUCGGAUCGUAAAACUCUGUUAUUAGGGAAGAACAUAUGUGUAAGUAACUGUGCACAUCUUGACGGUACCUAAUCGGAAAGCCACGGCUAACUACGUG
RNAcentral lists this ribosomal RNA (497 nucleotides) under uncultured bacterium. RNAcentral's name for it is "partial 16S ribosomal RNA". It matches the Rfam family "Bacterial small subunit ribosomal RNA", at positions 28 to 507 of the family's 1533-position model. The record is from RNAcentral.